Molecule: ribosomal RNA, 421 nt
Filed under: uncultured bacterium
Lineage: Bacteria
Description: partial 16S ribosomal RNA
Rfam family: Bacterial small subunit ribosomal RNA
Source: RNAcentral
AAUUUUGGACAAUGGGGGAAACCCUGAUCCAGCCAUCCCGCGUGUAUGAUGAAGUCCUUCGGUUUGUAAAGUACUGUUGGCAGAGAAGAAAAGGUAUCUCCUAAUACGAGAUACUGCUGACGGUAGCUGUAGAAUAAGCACCGGCUAACUACGUGCCAGCAGCCGCGGUAAUACGUAGGGUGCAAGAGGUAAUCGGAAUUACUGGGCGUAAAGAGUGUGUAGGCGGUUCGGAAAGAAAGAUGUGAGAUCCCAGGGCUCAACCUUGGAACUGCAUUUUUAACUGCCGAGCUAGAGUAUGUCAGAGGGGGGUAGAAUUCCACGUGUAGCAGUGAAAUGCGUAGAGAUGUGGAGGAAUACCGAUGGCGAAGGCAGCCCCCUGGGAUAAUACUGACGCUCAGACACGAAAGCGUGGGGAGCAAAC